Molecule: ribosomal RNA, 666 nt
Filed under: Bacillus mycoides
Lineage: Bacteria; Bacillati; Bacillota; Bacilli; Caryophanales; Bacillaceae
Description: bacterial SSU rRNA
Rfam family: Bacterial small subunit ribosomal RNA
Source: RNAcentral
CGUGCCUAAUACAUGCAAGUCGAGCGAAUGGAUUAAGAGCUUGCUCUUAUGAAGUUAGCGGCGGACGGGUGAGUAACACGUGGGUAACCUACCCAUAAGACUGGGAUAACUCCGGGAAACCGGGGCUAAUACCGGAUAAUAUUUUGAACUGCAUAGUUCGAAAUUGAAAGGCGGCUUCGGCUGUCACUUAUGGAUGGACCCGCGUCGCAUUAGCUAGUUGGUGAGGUAACGGCUCACCAAGGCGACGAUGCGUAGCCGACCUGAGAGGGUGAUCGGCCACACUGGGACUGAGACACGGCCCAGACUCCUACGGGAGGCAGCAGUAGGGAAUCUUCCGCAAUGGACGAAAGUCUGACGGAGCAACGCCGCGUGAGUGAUGAAGGCUUUCGGGUCGUAAAACUCUGUUGUUAGGGAAGAACAAGUGCUAGUUGAAUAAGCUGGCACCUUGACGGUACCUAACCAGAAAGCCACGGCUAACUACGUGCCAGCAGCCGCGGUAAUACGUAGGUGGCAAGCGUUAUCCGGAAUUAUUGGGCGUAAAGCGCGCGCAGGUGGUUUCUUAAGUCUGAUGUGAAAGCCCACGGCUCAACCGUGGAGGGUCAUUGGAAACUGGGAGACUUGAGUGCAGAAGAGGAAAGUGGAAUUCCAUGUGUAGCGGUGAAAUGC